GUUGUAGUAGUUUAAUAAAACAUUAGUCUGUGACACUAAAAACGGAACCACGCCCUACAAC
RNAcentral lists this transfer RNA (61 nucleotides) under Brookesia karchei. Its description in RNAcentral is "tRNA-His". It matches the Rfam family "tRNA". From Rfam's summary of the family: Transfer RNA (tRNA) molecules are approximately 80 nucleotides in length. Lineage: Eukaryota; Metazoa; Chordata; Lepidosauria; Squamata; Chamaeleonidae. The record is from RNAcentral.